RNAcentral lists this ribosomal RNA (119 nucleotides) under Pteropus alecto (black flying fox). Lineage: Eukaryota; Metazoa; Chordata; Mammalia; Chiroptera; Pteropodidae. The record is from RNAcentral.
GUCUACAGCCAUGCCACCCUGAACGUGCCCGAUCUUGUCUGAUCUCAGAAGCUAAGUAGGGUUGGGCCUGGUUAGUACUUGGAUGGGAGACCACCUAGGAAGACCAGGUACUACAGGCG